UACGUAGGGUCCGAGCGUUGUCCGGAAUUAUUGGGCGUAAAGGGCGCGUAGGCGGCCGUGCAAGUGGAAGGUGAAAUCCCUCGGCUCAACCGAGGAACUGCCUUUCAAACUGCAUGGCUUGAGUCCGGGAGAGGUGAGUGGAAUUCCCAGUGUAGCGGUGAAAUGCGUAGAUAUUGGGAGGAACACCAGUGGCGAAGGCGGCUCACUGGACCGGAACUGACGCUGAGGCGCGAAAGCGUGGGGAGCAAACGGG
This 253-nucleotide ribosomal RNA is filed under the name uncultured bacterium. RNAcentral describes it as "partial 16S ribosomal RNA". It matches the Rfam family "Bacterial small subunit ribosomal RNA", at positions 524 to 776 of the family's 1533-position model. The record is from RNAcentral.